Molecule: non-coding RNA, 178 nt
Filed under: Oceanospirillaceae bacterium
Lineage: Bacteria; Pseudomonadati; Pseudomonadota; Gammaproteobacteria; Oceanospirillales; Oceanospirillaceae
Description: 6S RNA
Rfam family: 6S / SsrS RNA
About the family: E. coli 6S RNA was the first non coding RNA to be sequenced, but its function was unknown until recently. It consists of 184 nucleotides that fold into an extended hairpin structure with a large single-stranded internal bulge.
Source: RNAcentral
UCAUCCCUGGGGUGUUCGUUCGUUGGUGUAGUUCCUCGAGCCUAUUCUUCCAAAAUGGGUGCUGUUUUGUGGUUAUUGUGUGCAUGUCCGUUUACGGAAAGCCUAAUGUAAUUCAGUAGCUCCCUCCUUGAACCUCCGGGUUCAGGACCAAAGCCGAUACCGGCACUUUGGGGACCUU